AGUAGGAGCAAAAGUGAGGCUCAAGUGAAGGUGGUGAGAUCUCUGAGGUGAGGGGGGCUGUGACAGGGGGUGAGGGGAGCAAUCAAGUACUAGCACACAGAGGUUAAGCUAGUUUAUAUUAACAAUGGUGGGCUAGAUGCCAUAUGUUGAUUAUUCCUGUAAAAAGGCAUCACCAUUCAGUUUCCUCCAACUAAAUAUUUUGCAAAAAGGUAUAAAAUGAACGUAACAUUUGUGGUGGUUUCUCUUUAUACAUCAAGCAUAUGAGCACCAGCCUUUUCUUUCCUAAUAUAUGUUAAAUAGAGCAAGGCAAGUUCUCAGGAGUACUGAUAAAAAAUAGUCUACUUGGAAAAAUAAGCAAAUAUAAAAAUUAAAAAACCCACAGACAUUAAAGUCCAUUUCAUACACCCUUCUAGUAUUCAGGUUGUUUUGGCUCCAGGGAUAUUCCUAAUAAGAUUUUUAGAUUAGAUUUUAUUUGCAUUAAAAGGGGGAAAAAAAGACUAUUUCAGCCAAAGUGCAAGUUUGCCACCUUGUGGCCCUACCAUGCAACUAGCUGUUUUCUCAAGCUGGAGGGUAGCGUUCUCAUGCAUACACAUGUAUGAACAACAAAAGGAGUGCGAUGAGCCACGGCCACAUUGCUUACACAGGAAGCUGCUUUACUCAGACAUUGGUCCAUCUAGUUCAGUACUGUUUACACUGACUGGUAGCUGUUCUUCAGGGUUUCAGAUUGGAAACUUUCCAGCCUGACCUGGGACCUUCUGCUUUACCUCUGUACUAUGGCUCCAUGCCCUGCCAGUUGUGAACCAAUUAUCACAGGAUGGAUAUGCGAUAUGGAGGGGAUGCAGAGGAGACAGAGGGAAGAAGUGGUAUAAUUGGUUUCAGAAAGGUGCAGUGUCAAAGACAGACAAGUGGUGGAGAAACAGUUCUGGGGUUGCUGUUCUGGCUGAAUAAACCCAAUGGGGUUUAUUCUUUCUAUCUUUAUUACUUGAGAAAAAAUACAAACAUAAAAUGCAAUAUGAGCCCUACAUGGCUCAUACAAUCUAGCAGGAAAAUUAUUGGAAAGGGUCUUGUAUAGUAUCAUCAAUGCCUCUCUGAGGGAGGGCAGGAUGCCUCAAGGAGGCAAUUGUUAGACCAUUUCUUAAGAAACCUGCAUUGGAUCCCUCAGAGCUAGGCAAUUAUAGGGCUGUCUCCAGUCUUCUCCAUGAUUGGGCAAAGUGAUUGAGAGGAUGGUGCCUUCUCAGCUCCAGUCAGUUUUGGAAGAAGCAGAUUAUCUGGACACAUUUCAAACUGACUUUCAGGUGGGCUAUGGGGUAGAGACUGCCAUAGUCAGCCCGAUGGAUGAUCUCCAGUUGGGAAUAGACACGGGGAGUGUGACCCUGUUGGAUCUCUCAGAGGCUUUCGAUACCAUUGACCAUGGUAUCCUUCUGGACUGCCUGAAGCGGUUGGAUGGAAGGCACUGCUCUGCAGUGGUUCCACUCUUACUUCUCAGGGAAAUUCCAGAUGGUGUUGCUUGGAGAUUGUUGCUCUUCAAAGAGAGAGCUAUUAUAUGGAGUCCCACAGGGCUCCAUUCUGUCUCCAAUGCUUUUUAACAUAUACAUGAAACUACUGAGAGAGAUCAUCAAGAGAUUUGGUGCAGGGUGCUAUCAAUAUGCUAGUGACACUCAGAUCUAUUUCUCCAUAUCAACUUCAUCAAGAGAUGGCUUAUCCUCUCUAAAUGUCUGCUUGGAAUCAGUAAUCAGUAAAAAUAAGGUUUCAACCUUGAGGAAAGUUUUGAAGCAUUAUCUUCAGUCCUUCAUGAGGAAGCUAUGGCGAAAAAAACUGGUACCUAGGCAGUUUUCAAGGACUACUCUCAUGCAUUCUGGAAUUCUGGAAAUCUGAAUACAUCCACCUCAGUCAGCUGCUCAAGGUUUUGAACUUGGAAUUCAUCCAUCUUAGUCAGCUGCUCUGCUUUCUGGAUCUGGAAUGUGUGCACCUAUAACUCUUCGUCUCUUCAGUGACCCAUGAGGUUUAUUAUCAAAGAUAUUAAGGAUACCAUCAAAGAAACAUUAGAAACUAUACUCUCUGGGUCCACAUAGGAGCUUGGCUCCUCCUUUGUGCACAUUAUGUUUUUCUUCUGCCUUAUGUCUGUAACUACAUUGAGUUAUAUCCUAUGACUAUUUGUUACUCCAUGAUAUAUGUAAAUAACAUGGCUGUUCUUACUAGCCCUUAUUAGAAGACAGCAAUAUAUGAAUAUAUGGAUUGAUUAUAUUAUUUACUUGGUAUCUAUUUCUCCACUGCAUUUGUGUGUUCCAUUAACACGGUAUUCUGAUUGAGAUUUCUUGGAAUCAGUAAUGGGCUGGAUGAGGGAGAAUGAACUGAAGUUGAAUCCAAACAAGAUGGAGGUAUUCAUUGUGGGAGGCUGGAACUUCGCAAGUGGUUUAGAUCUGCCUGUUCCGGACGUGGUUGCACUCCCCCUGAAAGAUCAGGUUAUGAACAGAUAUGUCAUACUAUCGUAGAGGAAGCAUUCCCUCCUGCAUGAGCAAAAGCAGAGGAAAGUAUCUUAUGGGUUUUCAAACAAAGACAAUGGAUCCUUUUGAGACCCACCAGAAUUUCCCUUCCUUGGAAGAAGGAGCAGCCAGUAUUUUGCCUCAGGGCCCAUUCUGGCCUAUAACUGGCACUGAUUUAUUGAACCAGUGCGCUUCAUUUUGUCUCUACACCGUGGAGUAUGGGUGAUAGAUUUGGCACCUGCCAUAACACCAGGCCGUGUCCUGCUCAUUGCACCAUUCACGCUUCCAGACUCUAGAUCAGCCUUCCUUGCUGGCCCGAUAUACACAGCUUGUCUCGAUGCUACAAGAAGCUGGCUGCACGAGAACAGACACCUGUUGGAUUUACCCUUGCUGCCUAACUCCCGAGCUGCUUUCGGAUCUUCACUGUCUGGUUCCAUCCCUGAGGAAAGAGGUCCUUUGGUUGUGCCUGAGCCACAAGGGUCCAAUCACCACUAAAGGAAGGACAAGGUUGUUUGAUAAUCACUGUGUCCUUCUGGGCUCUCCCUAUGCCUACUCUUUUCUUAAAACCAAAAACCUGUCUCUCUACAGCCCCCAUUGCUCUAGCCAGCCUGGAAGUCAUUUAAUUUGGACACUAAGCUAAAUUGUCUCUUUGCAAGUAUCUGGUUAAUGUUUGUAAUGUAUUUUUAGAAGUAAUGCUGCUUUAAUCAACUUUCUUAUUUUGCUGUACCUCUCAACCCCA
This is a long non-coding RNA of Hemicordylus capensis (graceful crag lizard), 3222 nucleotides long. RefSeq lists it as uncharacterized. The record is from RefSeq and is a predicted model, not a curated record. Lineage: Eukaryota; Metazoa; Chordata; Lepidosauria; Squamata; Cordylidae. The transcript is spliced from 3 exons.